CUCACCGGUCUUCUUUGUUCGUCUGGUAGCAGAAUGUAGUGUAUCGGACGAAUCGCAGCCGCCGAUGAUGAUGAGAAGAGCAGAGGAAGAGUUAAGAGAGAUGGAGAAAGAGGAGAGUUGGGGAGGAAGAAGGGUUUGGAGAGGUUAGAGGCAGGUUGAGGGAGAUGAGGGCAUGAGAGAGAGAGAGGUAGGAGAAUUGGGGAGAAGGAAAAGCUAUAAUAUU
This 223-nucleotide long non-coding RNA is filed under the name Ananas comosus (pineapple). Its description in RNAcentral is "long non-coding RNA (ACOM_LNC016678)". The record is from RNAcentral. Lineage: Eukaryota; Viridiplantae; Streptophyta; Magnoliopsida; Poales; Bromeliaceae.